RNAcentral lists this ribosomal RNA (440 nucleotides) under uncultured bacterium. Its description in RNAcentral is "partial 16S ribosomal RNA". It matches the Rfam family "Bacterial small subunit ribosomal RNA", at positions 338 to 795 of the family's 1533-position model. The record is from RNAcentral.
CCUACGGGUGGCAGCAGUAGGGAAUAUUCCGCAAUGGGCGAAACUCUGAUGCAGCGACGCCGCGUGAGUGAAGAAGGAUUUCGUUAUGUAAAGCUCUAUCAUCAGGGAAGAAAGUGACGGUGCCUGAGUAAUAAGCCCCGGCUAACUACGUUCCAGAAGCCGCAGUAAUACGUAGGGGGCAAGCGUUAUGCCGAUUUACUGGGUGUAAAGGGAGCGUGGACGGCAGUGACAGUAUGGAGUGAAAGGCGGGGGGCCAAACCACAGACUGCUCUGGAAACUGUACAGCUUGAGUGCAGGAGAGGUGAGUGGAAUUCCUAGUGUAGCGGUGAAAUGCGUAGAUAUUAGGAGGAACACCAGUGGCGAAGGCGGCUUACUGGACUGUAACUGACGUUGAGGCUCGAAAGCGUGGGGAGCAAACAGGAUUAGAUACCCCGGUAGUC